CCGGCUCAAAGGUUUUGUUUUAAGACCACAUGAGUAAACAGGUUAGUUAGACUAUCAGUGCAAUUCACAGCCCACCAGAAAAGAAGCACACCUUGUCAAGCUGACUUCUGUAUAAGGCUGUACUUCAGUGGUCCUUGGGAUGAUAAUCAUGUUUUUGUCAGAUGGGUUUGGAGUCAACCGAAAAUCCAGGGCAAGAGCCAUAGCCAAGAGCCAAUGUUACACAGGUUUGUUGUUGUUGUUGUUGUUGUUGUUGUUAUUUUUUUAAGUAGUGACUGAAACUUAUGAAGUCAGGGAAACAAACAGGCUGUAGACAGAUAGUAUUAACAAUAAAAUGUAAAUCUCAAAUAUUUAAACAUGUAACCGUGAGUAAGGUAAAAUGAUUUAGAAAACACACAGGAAAGACUGAUUAUUUCAUGGUGACAUGCAAAAUCCAUCAUACCUCAUUUUAGAAACAGUGCUAUUGAGGAAAAAAUCCUGGGUUUGUUCUCUCCUGUGAUCAAAUCAAUUUGUCUCUAUCACACAGUCUCAUAUGAUGCUUAGUUCCUAACCAGUUGUAUUAGACACACUCCCCAAUUCAAACAUGCCCUGCUGGAAUGUCUCCUAACCAAAAUUAGACCAUCAGCAGUACUAUCUUCAAAAUUCAAGAAUCUGUACAGUUUAUGAAAAAAGUACUCAUCCUACAAGAUGAGGGGCAGAGUUCACGUUCCACCACCUUCUAACUAGAUAACCAGGGACAACUCCUUUAAUGUCCACAAACUUUAGUUCCUUAAUGAGUAAAUUCAUCAGUUCUUCAUACAACCAAGCAUGAUGACCUUUAGUAAAAGUAGCAUACAAAAAAAAUUGUUUAAGGAAAUAGUUGUAUUUAGAGGUCAAAUACUUUUACAGCAGAAAGUUCUAUUAUUGAAGUCAUGAAUCUCAUCCUCUUGCCCUGGUAAUGCUGUUUUGACAGGUUUAGCAAUUAUAAAAGUCUGCACAACUGAGUAGUCAUGUAGGAAGAACAUUUUAUUUAGCAUCUGUCUAUGUGGAAGUGAGUUGGCUAUUAUAAUAAAAAUGUUUCCUUCCACACAGCCACUUUGGAGAAUGUGAGGUGGUCUACUCCAUACUUCUGUGAGCACCAGGUCCCCAAGCUGAGACUUUAGUGCUAGCCUAGAAAACAAAAGUGGCACUUCUGCCUCUUGCAAAUUCCUGGAGUUUGAUGCUUCAGCCGCUUUUCAGAUGACACUAGUUAAAUAUGAAAUGAAUGAGUUCUGUUGAUAACAAACCACAGACCCCAGCACCAAAUUUGGAAGGGUAGAGAGAAAAUAAAAUGGUU
RNAcentral lists this long non-coding RNA (1312 nucleotides) under Callithrix jacchus (white-tufted-ear marmoset). Its description in RNAcentral is "lncRNA (ENSCJAG00000080768.1)". Lineage: Eukaryota; Metazoa; Chordata; Mammalia; Primates; Cebidae. The record is from RNAcentral.